Long non-coding RNA from Scleropages formosus (Asian bonytongue), 1454 nucleotides. RefSeq lists it as uncharacterized. The transcript has 3 exons. The record is from RefSeq and is a predicted model, not a curated record. NCBI's taxonomy places the organism in Eukaryota, Metazoa, Chordata, Actinopteri, Osteoglossiformes, Osteoglossidae.
CCCAGAUACCUCAAGAACAUGAUCACUUUCAAUAGCACAGCCAGAUUCUUAUGCUUCUCCAACUCUAGCCACUUCAUAGUCCUGCCAGGAAAAGUCCAAAAUCAGAAGUCUAAAGGUUCUUUGUCUGUGUAUCAAUAUGGUGGAAUUAACUUUUUUUCUCUCCCUCAAGAUCUAGGGAGUCACUCCACAAAAUCCAUCUCUUCCAGAUCCAUUUCUCUACUAAUUUUAUUUGCUCCAGAAAUGUGGACAUUUUUAAAAAAAUGUACUCCCCAAAUUCUUUACACAACUCUUUGUGUAAUGUAUGCUUGCAAAAAUGGUAUUGGACUAAAUGGCUAUGAGUUUUACCUCACUUUGUUUUUUUGGCUGUGGAGAAUAACUUUCUCUGUAGAUCUGUUUGAUCGUACCGUUUAAGAAACAGGAAGGUGCAGGGUUUUUGGUGGCUUAUCUGCCAUCCCUGCAGGGUGAUGCAGAGAUUUUGUUUCAAAUUGUUUUAUACCAGAUAGUCCAGAAUAGGCUUUUCCUUGAAGACGUCGGCAGCCCCUGGGGAGGGCGAGAGACCAUCACUGGCAGUGAGGAUGAUGGCUGGAAGGAUACAGGCUUUGAAGAAUACGAGCGCAUUUCUUUUGUUCGUGAGAUCGUCUUCAGACUCUGGGACUUCCAGCAGAGGACAUUGUCUGCAACCAGAGAACCAGGUCAUUGUCCUUUUUCGAUGUCACGCUGGCGACCGAUGAAUGUUAUCAGAGGGUGUUGGAGACUAUAGGACGUCGUGGCAGCUUUCCUGGGGGAUUUUGCCGACGUCUUCCCCGGACAUGAGGAAGACCGGGACCUUCUGGGGAUCUGGACUGGACGGAGACGCUUUUUAGUCCGCCUGCGAUCCGACCCUACGGACUGCAAAUGAGACACAUCCGGAUCCACGCAGGAGAGAGCCCCAUCAAGCGCAGCGAAUGUGGCAAGAGUGUCACAGUGAAGUCCACCUUGGACCACCACGUCAAGACUCAUUUAGGGCUGCAUGUCUAGCUUCUCUCUUAUUUUGUCUGAUAGGCCUGUGUCUGUCUCCUUCACUUCUUCCUCUUCACUGCAUGCUACAUGCAAAGAUGAAACUGUAGGUUCAUGAGCCCUAUGUUCUUAACUUGAGAAACACACUGUGCAUGCUGCUAGAUUAGUCAGAUCUGAGAUCAGAAUUGGAUUUGGUCCAUGCUCCUUCUAAAUUUUAAUUCUAUAGUACAUUAAGGAAGCCUGCUCCUAUUAUCGCACUGAAUUCCUUUAAGUGAAUGCCUUUAACAGUUUGUAACCAUUUUAUGAGGCGCUGCAGUUAUCCUAUUUUUUUCUUCAAAUGUGUUCACAGACUGAAAAAAAUCAUGAAAUGAAGCUGUCCUUAACUGCCACUCUAUUAGAUAGAUACAUAGAUAGAUAGAUAGGUUGGAAAUUCUUGUGCCAGAGAUUGCUCAAACAGA